This is a long non-coding RNA of Raphanus sativus (radish), 1207 nucleotides long. RefSeq lists it as uncharacterized. The transcript is spliced from 9 exons. NCBI's taxonomy places the organism in Eukaryota, Viridiplantae, Streptophyta, Magnoliopsida, Brassicales, Brassicaceae. The record is from RefSeq and is a predicted model, not a curated record.
AAUUCGCGGUGUGUCGGGCUUUCCAGCGUCGAUACUCUCCCCCUUUCUCCGCCCCCAGACUUUUCCCCUUCAUCUUCUCCCAACGUUUUACUUUUUCUCUGUUACCUUCUCAAUCAAUGAAGCUGUUAAAGCUAUUCUUUAAUGUUGUGAUCCAUCUCCCUUGAUACUUCUCUCUAAGUCUCUAUCUCUAAACCUAAAUCUAUCCUAAAUAAAAAAACUUUGACUAUUUCAUUUCUCCACUGGUUCGUUUCUGAUCGUGGAAGGAAACGGACACGGAUUCUACCAGUCUCUGGGUCUGAAUUACUCUUGGCACCUUGGAGCCGUAAUGUUGUUAUUGAUCAUUGAUUGACUUGGAUUCUGAAGAUGAGUUCUUGCGAAUGGAUUCAGAAACCAGAAAUAAGUAAUCGGAGCUUCUCGCCGUUUUACCACACAUAAGAAGAGUAUUGUAGAGAUUGAAUCGGUUGGUGUUGCUGGUAAAACUGUGAGCCGUGUUAAGAAUUAACACACUUCCGCCUAGAGUUUGUAGCCGAUGAUCAAGAACAUACGGAUGACGAUUAGGAUAUCAAGUCUUUAGAAGAUGGUUUUGUUUCUGUGACUCCACUGUCUCUACUUCCAAACAUAGAUUCAGAAACUCAAGCCGAAGCAUCAGAAUGGAUCGACAAAUACCUUAACGCUGAUCAAUGAAAAAGGGUGAUGUGGCCAAAACACUGCCAACAUCUGAAGUCUCGUGAUCAGAUCUCUUACCAAGAAGUAUCUGAAUGAUCCUUUUACAAUUGAUCUGGUUGGAGAUUCUGAUCAAAAGCUCGCAGAUGGAAUUACAAUGUAUUCUAUCAUGGCAGAUUCUUAUGGUAGGGCUUUAAUUAUUGGUCCUCUUCUGCUGUAUAGUCUAUACGGCUCUCCAUCAAUCUACAUAGGUUUAUGUGUGAGGAGUUACGAAAUAGGAUUUGAAAUGAAGCCAAAGAUUAUCUAUAAGAGUCGUCACCCAAGCAAUUGAAUCCAGCUUCUACACUCAUUGCUAGAACAAUACAAACCAGCUGCUCAGGGAUUUUGUAGAGAGUUACAUCAUGAAUGAUCUUCAUUAUUUGUUAAGUGUCUUCUCCCAGACACAAAAAAGAACACAAAAAAUGUAAAUGGUUUGUACUACACUUGGUUCUAUAUGUGAGCACCUUAUACUAGACAUUGUACAAUAAUGAUGAUACAUUAUCCA